RNAcentral lists this ribosomal RNA (500 nucleotides) under uncultured bacterium. Its description in RNAcentral is "bacterial SSU rRNA". It matches the Rfam family "Bacterial small subunit ribosomal RNA", at positions 30 to 504 of the family's 1533-position model. The record is from RNAcentral.
UGAACGCUGGCGGCGUGCUUAACACAUGCAAGUCGAACGAGAAAGGGAUUGCUUGCAAUCCUGAGUAGAGUGGCGCACGGGUGAGUAACACGUAGAUAAUCUACCUUCAAGCCCGGGAUAACUAUUCGAAAGGAUGGCUAAUACCGGAUGAAGUUCAUUGACACAAGUUGAUGAAUGAAAGAUUGCCUCUUCCUGAAAGCAAUUGUUUGGAGAUGAGUUUGCGGACCAUUAGUUAGUUGGUGGGGUAAAGGCCUACCAAGACUGCGAUGGUUAGCUGGUCUGAGAGGAUGAUCAGUCACACUGGAACUGGAACACGGUCCAGACUCCUACGGGAGGCAGCAGUGAGGAAUUUUGCGCAAUGGGGGCAACCCUGACGCAGCAACGCCGCGUGAGUGAAGAAGGCCUUUGGGUCGUAAAGCUCUGUCAACUGGGAAGAAGUUAUUUAUAUUUAAUAGAUAUAGGUAUUGACGGUACCAGUGGAGGAAGCGCCGGCUAACUCC